RNAcentral lists this ribosomal RNA (458 nucleotides) under uncultured bacterium. Its description in RNAcentral is "bacterial SSU rRNA". It matches the Rfam family "Bacterial small subunit ribosomal RNA", at positions 328 to 802 of the family's 1533-position model. The record is from RNAcentral.
AUGAAACACUCCUACGGGAGGCAGCAGUGGGGAAUCUUAGACAAUGUGGGAAACCCUGAUCUAGCCAUGCCGCGUGAUCGAUGAAGGCCUUAGGGUUGUAAAGAUCUUUCAGAUGGGAAGAUAAUGACGGUACCAUCAGAAGAAGCCCCGGCUAACUCCGUGCCAGCAGCCGCGGUAAUACGGAGGGGGCUAGCGUUAUUCGGAAUUACUGGGCGUGAAGCGCACGUAGGCGGACUGAAAAGUCAGAGGUGAAAUCCCAGGGCUCAACCUUGGAACUGCCUUUGAAACUCUCAGUCUUGAGGUCGAGAGAGGUGAGUGGAAUUCCGAGUGUAGAGGUGAAAUUCGUAGAUAUUCGGAGGAACACCAGUGGCGAAGGCGGCUCACUGGCUCGAUACUGACGCUGAGGUGCGAAAGCGUGGGGAGCAAACAGGAUUAGAAACCCUGGUAGUCCGAAGUUC